GCCUCUUUAGCUCAGUGGUAGAGCACUGGUCUCGUAAACCAGGGGUCGGCGGUUCAAACCCGCCAGGAGGCA
RNAcentral lists this transfer RNA (72 nucleotides) under Mayetiola destructor (Hessian fly). RNAcentral describes it as "tRNA-Thr for anticodon CGU". It matches the Rfam family "tRNA". Rfam says of the family: Transfer RNA (tRNA) molecules are approximately 80 nucleotides in length. Their secondary structure includes four short double-helical elements and three loops (D, anti-codon, and T loops). Further hydrogen bonds mediate the characteristic L-shaped molecular structure. tRNAs have two regions of fundamental functional importance: the anti-codon, which is responsible for specific mRNA codon recognition, and the 3' end, to which the tRNAs corresponding amino acid is attached (by aminoacyl-tRNA synthetases). tRNAs cope with the degeneracy of the genetic code in two manners: having more than one tRNA (with a specific anti-codon) for a particular amino acid; and 'wobble' base-pairing, i.e. permitting non-standard base-pairing at the 3rd anti-codon position. The record is from RNAcentral. Lineage: Eukaryota; Metazoa; Arthropoda; Insecta; Diptera; Cecidomyiidae.